CUAGACUUAACAUCUGAGGCAAAGAUUUACCUGAGCCUUAGUUGGGUUGAGUAGUGUUGUCAGGUGGUUAAUCAUCUUGGGAUUAUGGAGGGAACCACCCACUCGGACACUCCACGACGGUUCCAAGAGAGAAGAUUGAGCAGAGAAGUGAGAUUCAGAAUCAUGAAAUCAGUGAAGCAAAUGCCUGUAAGAAUGAUUCCCAAGAACAUUAAUCAGUCAUACAGAAGUAGCAAGGUUAUAAACAGACAGAAUAAGUGCUUAAGCCGAUUAGAUCUUACUGUGUGCGAUGCAUCGCCCGUUGUC
Molecule: long non-coding RNA, 303 nt
Filed under: Setaria italica (foxtail millet)
Lineage: Eukaryota; Viridiplantae; Streptophyta; Magnoliopsida; Poales; Poaceae
Description: long non-coding RNA (SITA_LNC005240)
Source: RNAcentral